This is a long non-coding RNA of Hemicordylus capensis (graceful crag lizard), 665 nucleotides long. RefSeq lists it as uncharacterized. The record is from RefSeq and is a predicted model, not a curated record. The transcript is spliced from 2 exons. NCBI's taxonomy places the organism in Eukaryota, Metazoa, Chordata, Lepidosauria, Squamata, Cordylidae.
UUUUCUCCCGGGUUAAGAUGGCGAAGCGCGGGAGUCUCGGCCCUGAGGAGACCGAUCGUCCAAUCAACGGGCGAGGAGAGCCAGAGUAGGCGGGCGGGCGGCUAUCGAGCGUCGAACUAUCGAGCGGCAGGGCCGAAGAAGCCACCAACUCUCUCUUCCUCUGGGAGGUGGAUGGAAAAAUGUUACAUGAUGGAUCGAUUCCUCCCUCAGCAGGAGGGCGCCGCGUUUCCCCUCCUCGACGUCAAGGGGAGGGGGUGGCCGCGUGCACACACAAAAAUAAUAAUACAAAACCUCGGCGCGCUCUCUCUACAGUCCCUGGAAAACCCCAGAGCAAGCGCGGUGCUGGGGGCUGUAAUGGAAAGGGGGUGGGGGCUUAGCAUUGAACAUCCUCAGAGAAAAGUGGGACUAGUUAAAAGAUCCCCCAUCACCUAUAUGAUAUUGGGAGCUGCACAAGAUUGAUUGAUUGUCUUCAGUUCUUUAGCUGAAUCAUGGUGUGGAGUUGUAUUCAAGAACAAAACUCAGCCACCUUUGAAUAGCAUUGAGGAUGAUGUCUUACAUUGAAAGUCUGCCAUUUUGUGACACUUGUGGUUACUUUUGAAUGUUUUUAAACUUUUAACUUUUAUUGUGCAUUUAAGGUCAUUAAAAAAAGCUUUGAAGUGUGGAAA